AAUAAAUAAGACUCUAUGAAUUCUCACGCAUAUAAUUCAUACCAUUAAAAGGUUUUUAUAUUUAAUUUUUGACAUUAAAUGAUGGUUAUGAAUUUCAGAGAUCAGAAGAAUAAAUGGUAUGUAAUUUUCCCUGGUACUUAGAUGUGGGGCGAAAACGAUUCAAUGGAUGGAUGAUGAUGGCGCAUGGUAUUGUCAUGGAAUGAGAAGCACCAGAUCCGAGAGCCCUCUCAAGCAAAUGUGUGCGUUUUUACUUUUCAAACUGGCCAAUGAUAGCGUGCCAGCGCAUCGUCUCCUACCUUGAGAAUAUAUAUACACUUUAAAAUUCUCUUUUCUC
This is a long non-coding RNA of Vicia villosa (hairy vetch), 334 nucleotides long. RefSeq lists it as uncharacterized. The record is from RefSeq and is a predicted model, not a curated record. The transcript has 2 exons. Lineage: Eukaryota; Viridiplantae; Streptophyta; Magnoliopsida; Fabales; Fabaceae.